This is a non-coding RNA of Cinara cedri, 371 nucleotides long. NCBI's taxonomy places the organism in Eukaryota, Metazoa, Arthropoda, Insecta, Hemiptera, Aphididae. The record is from the annotation of a GenBank genome assembly.
AUUAAAUAUGGAAGAUAUAUGCACAUAGAAGAAUUCUUUGGCUUUAUUGCGUUGGUUACAACUAUAGUUGGGUUAUUACCUCAAGUAUAUAAAGCGCAUAUCACUAAACUUACUCGUGAUAUAUCAAUGCUAAUGCUAGCGAACUGUCUUCUUUGUUCAUUAUCUUGGCUUGGCUAUGGUCUCUGUCAAGGUUCACUUUUUGUGAUAUCUAGCAAUAUCGCUGCAUCAGUGGUAAGUGUGGUGUCAAUUAUCCAAAAAUGUUAUUAUGAUGCAAAAUCUUCAGGAAGCACUUCAUAGCCAUCACAAACAACGAGAGAAGCACAUGGCAUGCUUAUAAAAUUAAAUUUAGCGUGCGUUUUAAGAUAUACCUC